RNAcentral lists this transfer RNA (83 nucleotides) under Morchella conica CCBAS932. It matches the Rfam family "tRNA". From Rfam's summary of the family: Transfer RNA (tRNA) molecules are approximately 80 nucleotides in length. The record is from Rfam by way of RNAcentral. Lineage: Eukaryota; Fungi; Ascomycota; Pezizomycetes; Pezizales; Morchellaceae.
GGCUGGUUGGCGCAAUGGUAGCGCGUGGUCCUCCUACUGGAAAGGUAAGACCGAGGUUGCGGGUUCGACUCCCGUGCUGGUCG